GAUGAACGCUGGCGGUAUGCUUAACACAUGCAAGUCGAACGGACUCUUCGGAGUUAGUGGCGGACGGGUGAGUAACGCGUGAGAAUCUGGCUUUGGGUUCGGGACAACCACUGGAAACGGUGGCUAAUACCGGAUGUGCCGAGAGGUAAAAGAGAAAUUGCCUGAAGAUGAGCUCGCGUCUGAUUAGCUAGUUGGUGAGGUAAAGGCUCACCAAGGCAGCGAUCAGUAGCUGGUCUGAGGGGAUGACCAGCCACACUGGGACUGAGACACGGCCCAGACUCCUACGGGAGGCAGCAGUGGGGAAUUUUCCGCAAUGGGCGAAAGCCUGACGGAGCAAUACCGCGUGAGGGAAGAAGGCUCUUGGGUUGUAAACCUCUUUUCUUAGGGAAGAACAAAAUGACGGUACCUAAGGAAUCAGCAUCGGCUAACUCCGUG
RNAcentral lists this ribosomal RNA (435 nucleotides) under uncultured bacterium. RNAcentral's name for it is "partial 16S ribosomal RNA". It matches the Rfam family "Bacterial small subunit ribosomal RNA", at positions 28 to 507 of the family's 1533-position model. The record is from RNAcentral.